RNAcentral lists this ribosomal RNA (293 nucleotides) under uncultured bacterium. RNAcentral describes it as "partial 16S ribosomal RNA". It matches the Rfam family "Archaeal small subunit ribosomal RNA", at positions 455 to 747 of the family's 1478-position model. The record is from RNAcentral.
GUGCCAGCCGCCGCGGUAAUACCGGCAGCCCGAGUGAUGGCCGAUCUUAUUGGGCCUAAAGCGUCCGUAGCCGGCCGGACAAGUCCGUUGGUAAAUCUGCGCGCUUAACGCGCAGGCGUCCAGCGGAAACUGUCCGGCUUGGGGCCGGAAGAUCCGAGGGGUACGUCCGGGGUAGGAGUGAAAUCCUGUAAUCCUGGACGGACCGCCGGUGGCGAAAGCGCCUCGGGAGGACGGACCCGACAGUGAGGGACGAAAGCCAGGGUCUCGAACCGGAUUAGAUACCCGGGUAGUCC